Molecule: ribosomal RNA, 367 nt
Filed under: uncultured bacterium
Lineage: Bacteria
Description: bacterial SSU rRNA
Rfam family: Bacterial small subunit ribosomal RNA
Source: RNAcentral
GACGAACGCUGGCGGCGUGCUUAACACAUGCAAGUCGAGCGGUAAGGCCCUUUCGGGGGUACACGAGCGGCGAACGGGUGAGUAACACGUGGGUGACCUGCCCUCAGCUCUGGGAUAAGCCUGGGAAACCGGGUCUAAUACCGGAUAUGACUCCAUGACGCAUGUUGUGGGGUGGAAAGCCUUGUGCGGCUGAGGAUGGGGCCCGCGGCCUAUCAGCUUGUUGGUGGGGUNAUGGCCUACCAAGGCGACGACGGGUAGCCGGCCUGAGAGGCGACCGGCCACACUGGGACUGAGACACGGCCCAGACUCCUACGGGAGGCAGCAGUGGGGAAUCUUGCGCAAUGGGCGAAAGCCUGACGCAGCGACG